UGUGAUCCUGCCUUGUUUUGUUGUAUUCAUAAGCUGAGUAUGCAAGAGUACUAAUUUAAUAUGAGCGAUUCGACUUCUCCUUGCAGCAUAAGCGUGAUGAUGCAGGUGAUGAUGCAGAUGGGCGUGAUGAAGAGAUGUUGGAGGUGGAUAUUGUUUAGCAUAGUGAUCAGUAUGUUGCCAUUGUAGGAUGUGACUUUGUACACCGCUGGUGCAUAUGUAGGGGAAUAGAGCUAAUGAAC
Molecule: long non-coding RNA, 239 nt
Filed under: Solanum tuberosum (potato)
Lineage: Eukaryota; Viridiplantae; Streptophyta; Magnoliopsida; Solanales; Solanaceae
Description: long non-coding RNA (STUB_LNC011206)
Source: RNAcentral